CCUUAGCCAGCUAACUAGGGAGCGCAUAGAGGUAUGCGUUGGUGCAUUCUGUAAGGGGUGUGCAGUUCCUUCUUAGAGGGACUAUCUGUGACUAACAGAUGGAAGUUUGAGGCAAUAACAGGUCUGUGAUGCCCUUAGAUGUUCUGGGCCGCACGCGCGCUACACUGGUAAAGGCAACGAGUGUGUUCCUUGGCCGGAAGGUCAGGGUAAUCUUGAAACUUUAUCGUGAUGGGGAUUGACGAUUGCAAUUAUUGGUCAUGAACGAGGAAUUCCUAGUAAGCGCAAGUCAUCAGCUUGCGUUGAUUACGUCCCUGCCCUUUGUACACACCGCCCGUCGAUACUACCGAUUGAAUGGCUUAGUGAGGACUCUGGAGGGUGCCUGUUGUGGUGCUUGAAACUGUCCAAACUUGGUGAUUUAGAGGAAGUAAAAGUCG
This 434-nucleotide ribosomal RNA is filed under the name Microsporidia sp. clade X. RNAcentral describes it as "SSU rRNA". It matches the Rfam family "Eukaryotic small subunit ribosomal RNA", at positions 1341 to 1791 of the family's 1831-position model. Lineage: Eukaryota; Fungi; Microsporidia. The record is from RNAcentral.